Molecule: ribosomal RNA, 512 nt
Filed under: uncultured bacterium
Lineage: Bacteria
Description: bacterial SSU rRNA
Rfam family: Bacterial small subunit ribosomal RNA
Source: RNAcentral
GAACGAACGCUGGCGGCGUGCUUAACACAUGCAAGUCGAACGCGAAAGGGACUUCGGUCCUGAGUAAAGUGGCGCACGGGUGAGUAACGCGUAGAUAACCUGUCUUCAUGUCUGGAAUAAUACGCCGAAAGGGGUACUAAUACCGGAUAUUCUUGCUUUUCAUAAGUUAUGCAAGCAAAGGUGGCCUCUGCAUAUGCUACUGCAUGAAGAGGGGUCUGCGUACCAUUAGCUAGUAGGUGGGGUAAUGGCCUACCUAGGCGACGAUGGUUAGCGAGUCUGAGAGGAUGAUCCGCCACACUGGCACUGGAACACGGGCCAGACUCCUACGGGAGGCAGCAGUGAGGAAUAUUGCGCAAUGGGGGAAACCCUGACGCAGCGACGCCGCGUGAGUGAAGGAAGGCCUUCGGGUCGUAAAGCUCUGUCAAGAGGAAAGAAGUGUACAAUGGCUAAUACCUGUUGUAUUUGACGGUACCUCUAAAGGAAGCACCGGCUAACUCCGUGCCAGCAGCCGC